UUCAUCUAAAACUCUGGAUAAGGUUUCAAAGGGCUUCCAUAGUUGUCUGAGCAGUGGCUGCAACGUCGACGAUGGUACAGGAUGCAGGAUUAGUUGUGCUUUCACAUCCUCUGACUGUGCACACAACUAACCAGAAAAGCCCAUUCACCCAUUUGUUCCAAACCAGCAGGUCCUAGUGAAGUGUCUGAAACCAACAAAGCUCAGUGAGCCCAAGUAUCUGGAUCCAACAACUCUCUGGUGGUAACCAGGACGGGCGUACUGACAGAUCUGCAAGCCGUGUGAAGCCUGCACCAGUGGAGAGCCUGACUAUUUCGAAAGCGAACUGUGAAAGUACUGGAGGCGCGGAACACGCAGUGCCAGUGCCCAACCGGGAACUAGAGAAUUAAAAGGAAUGAAGACAUGGAUAGAUGAUGCACCACAAACCUAUGCAACCAAUUUGUGGUAGAAACUAGCUAACUUUACGGCAAAGAACACGGGAAGAGAAAGGUAGUUGUCAUGUAUGCAUAUGCUGCAUAGUGAAUCUACACCAGCGGUAAAGGUAACCCCAUAACACCUAUUAAAAAAGGAACAUGAGUUAUAGGAGACCGAUAUUGGCAAUAUGGCCAUAAUUUGUACACUGCUCUGCUGGAAUUGUGGACAGGUAGAUGUGCCAUGGUAGACUUAAUUGACCACACCAUGGUGGUCUGAGCUAUUGAGAAAACAACAAACAGCAGUAGUAGUCAAAGUUAACCCAAUACCACACCGAGAGAACACAGAUUAUUGACAGGAACAGAGAAAUUCUUUGGAGCACGGUUCCCACAAGUGGGUGUUGCAGUAAUACAGAAAGUUGAAAUGACUAGAUAUGAACUGAUAUUUGUAUAUUUGACUUAAACAACAAUUGACGCAGUAUGCCAAGAACUAAAAAGGCUUAAGAUUAACAGCGCUACAAAAUUGACCGGUCCUUGACCAGUUAACAGCUACCAGUGGUGGAGUAUGUGUUAUCGUGGGAACGAGUUGCUAUACUUUCAUUCCAGAAAACAAUGAAGUUGAAUAUGACAUAAAAAUGGGCCUGAAAAACAUGAAGAUAGCAGCGGACUUGACAGUGGGAGAAACCGUAGAUGUCAACGACUUUUUGACAUGGUAAAAAAAAUUGUGAUUCCAUGUGCUAAAGCAUUGGUCAAUAGGACCAUUGAUAACGCUUUGAAUGCUAAUUAUGCUCUGAUAAACUUUGAAGAUGCUGAUAGAAAUGGUUAAGGGACACAUUGGGAGGAAUAUGAUGGUAAUGAGUAAAAGACAGAAUAUAAGGUAAACAAGAUUUGAUUUUUGAAUAGCCAUCUGAGGAUCGUGUCUCUUCGAGACAAAAGUGGGCAUUGUGAGGAAUAGGCAUCAGAUGGAACAACGUGACCUUUUUCUGCUGAUGCUUGCUUAUUUUCCUUGUAUGUUUUCAGCACUGUCUUGAGCACAAAAUGUACUUGAUAAGAAAUGUACUUCUUUUCCUCGUAUGUUUUCCUCUCGCUUCCUUCUGUAAGCGAGAGGAAACAACCCCAUAUAUGGAGGAUUGAGAAAGUUCGAGGUAAAGGGUGUAACCAGCCUUGUGUGACAAGAACCAUAUAAACCACUUGCUUGCUUUAAAUAAAUUGAAGAACUUCUUGUGA
This is a long non-coding RNA of Xyrauchen texanus (razorback sucker), 1634 nucleotides long. RefSeq lists it as uncharacterized. NCBI's taxonomy places the organism in Eukaryota, Metazoa, Chordata, Actinopteri, Cypriniformes, Catostomidae. The record is from RefSeq and is a predicted model, not a curated record. The transcript is spliced from 2 exons.